CACGGACCCAGGUCCAAUUCUAACCUCGGGUGACUAUCUGUAUGCAAUUUGCACAUAGUGCUUGUAUCUGCAUGACUUUUGCCGGGUGCUCUGGUUUCCUCCCACAUUCCAAAAAUGUGCAGAAAGUGACCAGUAGUGACCAAUCCAUCAGCCCUAGACUUACUUCAACAUUCUCCAAAACAGAUGCUGAUCCUGCCAAAACUCAGAUCAAUGAUCGAUAUGAACCAAUGAGAGCCUUCUGGUCAACUCUACGAAAACUCUU
Molecule: long non-coding RNA, 262 nt
Organism: Chiloscyllium plagiosum (whitespotted bambooshark)
Lineage: Eukaryota; Metazoa; Chordata; Chondrichthyes; Orectolobiformes; Hemiscylliidae
Source: RefSeq, a predicted model, not a curated record